GAUGAACGCUGGCGGCGUGCCUAAUACAUGCAAGUCGAGCGAACAGACGAGGAGCUUGCUCCUCUGACGUUAGCGGCGGACGGGUGAGUAACACGUGGAUAACCUACCUAUAAGACUGGGAUAACUUCGGGAAACCGGAGCUAAUACCGGAUAAUAUAUUGAACCGCAUGGUUCAAUAGUGAAAGACGGUUUUGCUUUCACUUAUAGAUGGAUCCGCGCCGCAUUAGCUAGUUGGUAAGGUAACGGCUUACCAAGGCAACGAUGCGUAGCCGACCUGAGAGGGUGAUCGGCCACACUGGAACUGAGACACGGUCCAGACUCCUACGGGAGGCAGCAGUAGGGAAUCUUGCGCAAUGGGCGAAAGCCUGACGGAGCAACGCCGCGUGAGUGAUGAAGGUCUUCGGAUUGUAAAACUCUGUUAUUAGGGAAGAACAAAUGUGUAAGUAAAUAUGCACGUCUUGACGGUACCUAAUCAGAAAGCCACGGCUAACUACGUG
This 497-nucleotide ribosomal RNA is filed under the name uncultured bacterium. RNAcentral describes it as "partial 16S ribosomal RNA". It matches the Rfam family "Bacterial small subunit ribosomal RNA", at positions 28 to 507 of the family's 1533-position model. The record is from RNAcentral.